AUGCGGCGCAAGCUCGCCGGCGACGCGCCAGCGUCGGCUUCGGCCGGCGGCGGCUCAGUCCCGUCCGAAGCAGACCUGGCGCAGCUCUCCACCGCCAUCUCGGCGGGGGAGGACCUGGGCCCGUUUGUCCGGCGUGCGUUCGCCUGCGGGCGGCCGGAGCCGCUUCUAUCCUCGCUCCGCGCCGUCGCGCGGGACCGCGAGUCCGAGAUCGAGGAGCUCUGUCGCGCGCACUUCCACGACUUCAUCCGCGCCGUCGACGACCUCCGCUCUCUCCUCGCCGACGCCGAGGUGCUCAAGGGCUCCCUCUCCGCCUCCCACUCCGCACUCCUGUCAUCUUCAGCGCCGCUGCUUGCCUCGCUCGAGUCGUUCCUUGCCGCGCGAGCUCUCGCCGGGAACCUCUCAUCCGCUCUCGCCUCCUCCCACCGCUGCGUCCGCCUGCUCGCGCUCGCCGCUCGGGCUAAUGACCACCUCCAGGCCGGCAACCACAGUCUCUACCUCGCCCUCCGCGCCGUCGAUGCCAUUGAUCUCAACCUUGCCUCUGGCCCCGACCCGCUGCCUCUUCCUGCCCUUCGCCGCAUGCUGCUCAGCCUCGUACCCGCGGUGCGCGUCCACGCUGAGCGCGAGAUCUCCAGGGAGUUCGCCGACUGGAUGGUCAGCAUCCGGGCUGCUUCGCGGCACCUUGGACAGGUGGCCAUUGGCCGCUCAGCUGCGGCAAGGCAGCGCCAGGAGGAGCUCCGCUCCAAGCACCGCCCGCUGGAGGAGUCCAUCACCCUGGACGAUGACGGAGCUGGUGACCUCGACGACUUCGCUGCAGCCACGGCGACGUCUGAUGGGUCGGAUGGUGCCGCUGCAGCAUCGUUUGACCUCACACAGCUCUACCGUGCCAUGCACAUACACCAGACACUGGCGCUUGGGGAACGAUUCAAGAAGUACUACCUGGAGAACAGGAAGCUCCAGUUAACAUCCGACUUUGAUGUGAUUGCGGCAACACCAUUCCUCGAGUCUCAUCAGGUGUUCUUCGCGCAGAUUGCUGGAUUUUUUAUUGUCGAGGACCGUGUGUUUCGAACAGGGGGUGGACUUACAUCCCGGGUGGAUGUAGAUGCAUUGUGGGAGGCUGCAGUAGGAAAGAUGAUCUCCGUGCUGGAAGAUAACUUCUCUAGGAUGCAGACAGCAAACCACCUGCUUCUCAUAACUGAUUAUGCUGCCUUGCUUGCUGCCACAAUGAGGAGAUAUAGUUAUCCAGUUGGGAUGCUACUCGACGUGCUGGCUAAGCAUCGGGAUAAGUACCAUGACUUGCUGCUUGCUGAUUGCCGGAGACAGGUGGCAGAGGCACUGGCUGCAGAUAAGUUUGAUCAGAUGCUCAUGAGGAAGGAGUAUGAGUAUUCAAUGAAUGUGCUUGCUUUUGGGAUUCAGAGCUCUGAUAUAACACCGGCAUUCCCAUAUGUCGCGCCGUUUUCAUGCACUGUGCCAGAUAUUUGUCGUAUUGUGCGGUCAUUCAUUGAGGACUCGGUGAGCUUCAUGGCGCAUGGGGGCGGUGGUGACACAUAUGCAGCAGUGAAGAAGUACCUUGGUCGGAUACUCUCAGAGGUUGUGAAUGCUUCGAUACAGAAGCUUGUGGAUUCAGGCAGUGGUCUGAGUGUCUCUCAGGCAAUGCAGGUUGCUGCAAACAUGUCCAUAAUGGAGCGUGCGUGUGAGUUUUUUACACGCCAUGCAGCGCAAUUGUGUGGUGUGCCUCUACGCGCAGUAGAGCGUGGGCGGCGUGACUUUCCACUUCGCAAGUCUCGUGAUGCUGCAGAGGCGCUUCUGCUGCGGCUAUUGUGUUCUAAGGUUGACGAAUUCAUGCGGCAAUCUGAUGGUGUCAACUGGAUAGCUGAUGACCCACCUGCUGGGGGCAAUGAGUAUGCCAAUGAGGUCACUAUCUAUCUGGAGACUCUUACUUCAACUGCUCAACAGAUCCUUCCUCUUCCAGUGCUCCGUCGUGUUCUUGUCGCAGUUCUUGUGCAUAUCUCUGAGAGGAUUAUUGCCCUAUUCUUGAAUGACUCAGUGAAGCGGUUUAGUGCUAGCGCGGUCAUCGGUAUAGAUACUGAUCUUAAAAUGUUUGAGUCAUUCGCAGACAACAUGUCCAGCCUGUUCCUGGACUCUCAUCAGGAUUCUGCAGCAAGUGAAAUGAAGUCUGCACUGGUGGAGCCGAGGCAGCUGGUGAAUCUUCUUAUGAGUAACAGCCCAGAGAACUUCCUUAACCCAGUGAUCCGUGAGAAGAGCUACAAUAAGCUUGAUUACAAAAAGGUGGCAAUUAUCUCGGAGAAGUUCAGGGAUACCUCAGAGAGCUAUUUCUCGACAUUUGGAACUAGGGGUGCUAGGCAGAAUCCAAAGAAGAAAUCUCUGGAUACCCUUAUCAAGAGGCUUCGAGAAGCUAGCUAG
This 2421-nucleotide ribosomal RNA is filed under the name Triticum aestivum (bread wheat). Its description in RNAcentral is "partial small subunit ribosomal RNA". Lineage: Eukaryota; Viridiplantae; Streptophyta; Magnoliopsida; Poales; Poaceae. The record is from RNAcentral.